Megalobrama amblycephala (Wuchang bream) is the source of this 711-nucleotide long non-coding RNA. RefSeq lists it as uncharacterized. The transcript has 5 exons. NCBI's taxonomy places the organism in Eukaryota, Metazoa, Chordata, Actinopteri, Cypriniformes, Xenocyprididae. The record is from RefSeq and is a predicted model, not a curated record.
AUCGUGUAGAUAUUAUAUUCACCAUCAGAUGGCGCUGCGAGCUACACUGAUUUUACUUGGUCGCGCGCGCGCCAUUACUUCAUGAAGAAGAACGUAAGUUAGCCGUCGAAAGCAGAGCGCCGUUAUCGUCAAAAAUCAAAAGAAACAUCGUUAUCGCUUUCAAGCAGAUGCACAGGAUCAGUGGGUAAUUAAAAUCUCACUCAUUAUCAGAGCCACGGCGGAACAGACUCACCUCUGAAGCAGAAGUAAUGAGAAGGACCAAAAGCAAUUGCGAAACAGAUGGAAUGAGCCAUUUUUGGGACUGGAUUACAGGAAAGGAUCUACACCAGCCUAAAGAGAGAUCAACCAUCAAAGUAGUGAGAUCAACCAUCAGAGAAGUUGCUGUUACCAUGAAAAUCAUAUCAAAUUCCACAAAGGUAAUCAGAAGAGCAUCUCUGAAUGCACAACACGUCGAACCUUGAAGCAGAUGGGCUACAGCAGCAGAAGAACACACCGGGUGCUACUCCUGUCAGCUAAGAACAAGAAGCUGAGGCUGCAAUUUGCACUGGAUCACCAAAAUUGGACAAUAAAAGACUUAAAAAAAACUUUGCCUUGUCUGAUGAGUCUCGAUUUCUGCUCUGACGUUCAGAUGGUAGGGUCAGAAUUUGGCGUAAACAACAUGAAAUGAAUUAAGGCAGUUUUGUCCAACUUGGUACUAGCAAGAUGUACCUA